UGCUGUUUCUCCUUCACUUUCUGACGUUAUUUCUGUUGGUUUCUGUUCUAUGUUUAAUUUAUCUUUUCCUGAACUUUGUCCUAUUUCUACAUUUUGCGUUAAUUUUUGAUUUUGUUCUAAAUAAUCACAUCUUAAUUUUAAUUGUCUUACUUCCAAUUUUAAUUGUCUUAUUUCAGAUUGUAAAUCCAUAGAGGAAAUUGUUGUUACCGAUUUUUUAUUUUUAAAUAGUUGUUCAAUAUCUUCAAAUUUAGUUGGUGGUACAGUGUCUUG
Molecule: long non-coding RNA, 270 nt
Filed under: Manihot esculenta (cassava)
Lineage: Eukaryota; Viridiplantae; Streptophyta; Magnoliopsida; Malpighiales; Euphorbiaceae
Description: long non-coding RNA (MESC_LNC011853)
Source: RNAcentral